UCUAAACGUUAAUACAUAUUCUUUGACAAGUAAUAGUUGUAGAGCAAGAGUGUAUAUCGCUUUUUGAACGUUGCCGUGAAAUUGCGUUCUCUCGGAAUAUUAUAAAAUAUGAUUUAUUGCAACCAGGCCUUUGUUCAAGUUUUAUUUAAUGUUUUUAACUGCAUACUAUUGUUGACAAUGAAUCUUGAUUCUUUGUCCAUAUAAGAACUUAGGAAAUGUGAUGGAUAAAUCCAUACCUUGGGUAGAGACGUUGUGAACUUGGACCCACUGAUCGUGGUUGGUAAGAAAGAAAACAAAAUAUCAUGGGGCCGUUCGCUAACAACUGAACAAAUGAAAGGCUCAUCGUCCAAAAAACUGUACACAGUUAUAAGAAAGGUGCUUCCUUGCUGACCACGACGUUCAGACAUGAUCUGCCGAUUCAAUAAAGAUAUUUAGAUAACAGGGGUCAAACAGGCUUUAUCUUACCCCCUUGGGUAGAAUGCCUGGUGAACCCCGAGGGCCGUGUGAAGGGAUGAGGUAUUUUAGUGGGUGGGGUCUCACUAUCCCUCUUAAUAGCAGAGGGAUUUGAGUGUAGACCCAGCCGCACAGUCCCCGCGUUAAGCUUGACACCAUGCGUAAGCGCAUUUUCACCUCAUUUAAAUUUAAAAAAUAAUUAGUGAUACCCAAUUCAGAAAAUACUUCUGGCAAUGUAUCUAUGGAUACAGUAUUUUCUUAAAGAACCCUAAGUUGAUUUUGAUGUUGAAGUCCUUUAUCCCGAGGGAGAGUAAUAAAUGGUCGUCUAUGGGUACUUUUAAGUUGUUCCUUCUCUAGUGCCUCCUGGAUUUGACCAUGCUUUAUAAAAUCGUUAUUUAAAAGCUAGGUAAGAAUUGAAUUAACUGUCUUACAAAAUAUACAACUUAAAUGCAUUAACAAUUUAGUUUAUAGUUUAAUUAAUAUGAUUUACAGUUGCACUUGGCUUGUACGACAUGUUGAACGACGUGUCGGACAUCCCAAACGCACGUUAAAACUUUGUAUUUAUUUUUCGUUUAUUCAAUUAACCGUCAUACUUUCUAUAUUAGUUUAAGAUUUUUUGUGUAUGUGAGCAUAGCUCCUCCAGCCUUGGACCGAUAUAAAACGAGCCUACGGCACGCCUAGAGGUCAAUCAUCGCUGCAUAUGGACACCCAUCUUAGUGGAUUUAAUUUUUUCCGACGUUUCGCGUGCGUGAGAUGUGGCCUAAUGGAUCAACAAAAUACGAAUUGUUGAAGAAUUACCGAUUUUAUAAAUCUGCUUUAUUACUUAGUAAAAUAUUGCCGAACGUGGGUGGCUUGAUGAAAAUAAUGGUGUCCCCGAGGGAGUUAGGAACAGGGGGCAAACGCAAGAGGCUCAUCUAAUGUAAAGUGAAAUCGUCUCACACUCUCAAUCCCAGAGAUCUCGCGGGUGCGUUGCCGGCCUUUUAAUAAUGGGUACCCUCUUUUCUUGAAGAACCCUAAGUUGAAUUGGGUCAGAAAUACAUUGGACUACUGGUGUCUUAAGAAACGCUCAGUUGUGGAACGAUGGACGUCGAGGUCUGGGUUGAAUUUCUUAUUCUGCCUGGACGACGACGAAACUCAGCUGCAGGUAUAAUUCGGAACAUCUCCUCUGAACACUCUCCUGGUAAAUGCGGUAGAAGAUGCAAAAUCUCUCGGUUUAUACCAACCCUCGUUGUACCUAACUUGUACCUUAAAGGUAAUAUUAAGAAACGAAACUUAGCCCGAAGUAUAAUACUCGUCAAGUCAAAAUCCAGUACAUUUAUGACAUACGCUAAGUGCUUAGUUUCGUUUCACAAUCUUAACCUAAUACUUGAGUAUACACACACAAUGUACAAAGCAAAUUAAAUUCAUGUAAACGAAUCAAAAUGAACAAAAAGAAAUAUCGAUUAAAGCGUAGAUAAAUUCACAUUAAAUCUUUGUAAAGAGAUUUACAUCAAAGGUUAAACGCAAGUUAAAAAAUGAGCCGGCUUUAUGAAUAGCACAUAAUUCAUACUCUCAAAAUAUUCGUACGUUUAUGAAUUAGAAGGAAAAUACCUCGACAAAACCGCCUAAGCGGGCUUACAAUUUGUAAAGACGAAAACGUCUGGCAAUAUUAAUAAUAUGGGUCCUGUAUUUGAUAUUUUUUUGGACGAAAAUGUAAUUAAUGACAGUGUACUGUUUACUGUGAAGGUAAAUUUCUGUCUGUGUUGCUUGAUCAAUAAAUAGGUAUAAUAAGUUAGUGGCUCUACAGUAGUAGUUUAGUUUUUUCUUAUUAACUAUAUGAAAUAUGUAUUUUUGUACUUUUUGUCAACCUCAUCUAAG
This is a long non-coding RNA of Pieris brassicae (large cabbage white), 2310 nucleotides long. RefSeq lists it as uncharacterized. NCBI's taxonomy places the organism in Eukaryota, Metazoa, Arthropoda, Insecta, Lepidoptera, Pieridae. The record is from RefSeq and is a predicted model, not a curated record. The transcript is spliced from 4 exons.